UUGAUAUUUAUUAUUCGUGAAGGUACUACUAAUUAACAACAAUUUUAUAAUCAAAACAAAAAAAAUCA
Molecule: unclassified non-coding RNA, 68 nt
Filed under: soil metagenome
Description: partial internal transcribed spacer 1
Source: RNAcentral